Molecule: ribosomal RNA, 775 nt
Filed under: uncultured Neocallimastigales
Lineage: Eukaryota; Fungi; Neocallimastigomycota; Neocallimastigomycetes; Neocallimastigales
Description: partial large subunit ribosomal RNA
Rfam family: Eukaryotic large subunit ribosomal RNA
Source: RNAcentral
UAUCUCUGUAGAGUCUGCAUAUCAAUAAGCGGAGGAAAAGAAACUAACUAAGGAUUCCCUCAGUAACGGCGAGUGAAGCGGGAAGAGCUCAAAUUUGAAAUCUUCAAGGUUCUACCUUGACGAAUUGUAGUUUAAAGAAGUGUUUUCUGUUGGAGUUUUGGUAAAAGUUCUUUGGAAUAGGACAUCAUAGAGGGUGAGAAUCCCGUAUUUGACCAUUAUUUCCAGCUUUGUGAUACACUUUCAAAGAGUCGGAUUGUUUGGGAAUGCAGUCCAAAAUGGGUGGUAAAUUUCAUCUAAAGCUAAAUACUGGCGAGAGACCGAUAGCGAACAAGUACCGUGAGGGAAAGAUGAAAAGAACUUUGAAAAGAGAGUUAAACAGUACGUGAAAUUGUCAAAAGGGAAGCGUUUGGCACCAGUGUUGUUUUCUCGAAAAUCAAUUAAAAAAGGCAGGAUUUUGUGUUGUAUUGACUUUAUCAGCUUUCUGCACUCUUUUCUUGUCUUUUUUAAUGCACUUUUCGUUUAACAAGUCAACAUCAAUUUCUUUUGUUGUAAAAGGGUCAUUGGAAGGUGGCUUUCUUUUCGGAGAAAGUGUUUAUAGCCUUUGGCCUCUGCAAUCGGAGAGAUUGAGGUCUGCAGCGUAGAUCCUUCGGGGUUAGAUACAUUUGUGCUAAGUUAUAGCCUUUCAUAGACAACUUGUUGACUAUGAUCAGUCAUGUAGCUUACUCGCUUAUGCUAUUUUACCUACGCUUAGGAUGUUGAUAGUCACAGCGUGUAC